CGCGGUAAUUCCAGCUCCAAUAGCGUAUAUUAAAGUUGUUGCAGUUAAAACGCUCGUAGUUGAACUUUUGCUGUGCGAAACUGGGCAGUCUUAGGACUUGUUCCUUGUUUCUGACAGCAUUAUUCUGAUUCUGCAUCAGCAAGCGUUGAUGUGGUGUCAGAGAUGUUACUUUGAAUAAACUAGAGUGUUUCAAGCAGGCAUAACGCCUUGAAUACUCCAGCAUGGAAUAAUAAGUGAGAACUCAGGUUCUUCUUGUUGGUUCAAGAGCCAGAGUAAUGAUUAAUAGGGACAGUUAGGGGCAUUCGAAUUUGGUAGCUAGAGGUGAAAUUCUUAGAUUUACCAAAGACGAACUACUGCGAAAGCAUCUGCCAGGGAUGUUU
RNAcentral lists this ribosomal RNA (380 nucleotides) under uncultured eukaryote. Its description in RNAcentral is "bacterial SSU rRNA". It matches the Rfam family "Eukaryotic small subunit ribosomal RNA", at positions 575 to 969 of the family's 1831-position model. The record is from RNAcentral.